AUACGUAGGGGGCGAGCGUUGUCCGGAAUGAUUGGGCGUAAAGGGCGCGUAGGCGGCCCGGUAAGUCUGGAGUGAAAGUCCUGCUUUUAAGGUGGGAAUUGCUUUGGAUACUGUCGGGCUUGAGUGCAGGAGAGGUAAGUGGAAUUCCCAGUGUAGCGGUGAAAUGCGUAGAGAUUGGGAGGAACACCAGUGGCGAAGGCGACUUACUGGACUGUAACUGACGCUGAGGCGCGAAAGUGUGGGGAGCAAACAGGAUUAGAUACCCUGGUAGUCCACGCUGUAAACGAUGAAUACUAGGUGUGGGAGGACUGACCCCUUCCGUGCCGCAGUUAACACAAUAAGUAUUCCACCUGGGGAGUACGAUCGCAAGAUUGAAACUCAAAGGAAUUGACGGGG
This 396-nucleotide ribosomal RNA is filed under the name uncultured bacterium. Its description in RNAcentral is "partial 16S ribosomal RNA". It matches the Rfam family "Bacterial small subunit ribosomal RNA", at positions 523 to 918 of the family's 1533-position model. The record is from RNAcentral.